This 2328-nucleotide ribosomal RNA is filed under the name Triticum aestivum (bread wheat). RNAcentral's name for it is "partial small subunit ribosomal RNA". Lineage: Eukaryota; Viridiplantae; Streptophyta; Magnoliopsida; Poales; Poaceae. The record is from RNAcentral.
AUGCCGCCUUCUCGCCCUCCUCUCACCCCGACGAGUCUGGGCCUUCUCCACCGCUUCCUAGCCUCGUCCUCCUCGGCGCCUCCGCCGCUGCCCGUGCUCCUCCGCCUGCACGCUCUCGCUGCCACCUCAGGCCUCUGUUCCCGCCCCGACUUCGCCGCCAAGCUCGUCUCCGCCUACUCCUCCUCCGGCCGCCCCGGCCUCGCCGCCCUCGCCUUCUCCGCCUCCCCCUGCCCGGACACCUUCCUCUGGAACUCCCUCCUCCGCUCCCACCAUUGCGCCUCCGACUUUGCCUCCGCGCUCUCCGCCCACCGCCGCAUGUGCGCCUCUGGCGCGCGGCCCUCCCGGUUCACCGCGCCCAUCGCCGCCUCCGCGGCCGCCGAGCUCGCGGCGCUCCCGGUCGGCUCCUCCGUGCACGCCUACUCCGUCAAGCUCGGCCUUCUGGUAGGCGAUGGUUCCCUCGCGGUCUCGUCGUCGCUCGUGUACAUGUAUGCCAGGUGCGGCCGCAUUGACGACGCUACGAAGCUGUUCGACGAAAUGGGUGAGAGGGACGUCAUCACGUGGACCGCGGUGGUCUCUGGGUGCGUUAGGAAUGACCAGGGUGAGAAGGGAAUGAGAUACUUGGUGCAGAUGGUUAGGCUAGCGGGUGAUGGCGGCGCGAGGCCAAAUUCACGGACAAUGGAGAGUGGGUUGGAGGCUUGCGGACUGCUAGGUGAGCUGUCUGCUGGGAGAUGCUUGCACGGGUACACGGUGAAGGAAGGGAUUGGAGAUUGUGCGUUGGUGGUUUCCGCACUUUUCUCAAUGUACUCAAAGUGCGAUAGGACUGAGGAUGCAUGUGUUUUAUUCCUGGAGUUGCCAGAAAAAGAUGUGGUUACCUGGACUAGCUUGAUUGGAGCCUAUUGUAGGAGAGGACUUGAUAGGGAGGCCGUGGAGUUGUUCCAGGAGAUGGUGGUGUCUGGUCUGCAGCCAGAUGAAGUUCUUGUUAGCUGUGUACUUUCAGGGUUAGGGAACAGUGGAAAUGUGCGUAGGGGGAAGGCAUUUCAUGCAGCUAUAACUAAGAGAAACUUUGGAGACAGUUUCUUGGUUGCCAAUGCUUUGAUUUCAAUGUACGGGAAACUUGAGUUGGUAGAUGCUGCAGGCAAAGUUUUUGGAAUUUUGCAUCAACGAGAUGCAGAAUCAUGGAGUUUGAUGGUUGUAUUAUACUGCAAAGCUGGACUUGAUGUCAAAUGCUUGGAGUUGUACCGAGAAAUGCAUUGCAGAGAUCAUGAUGAAUUUUUAUGUGAUAUCAACAGCUUGGUUUCCACAAUCUCUUCUUGUUCACGGCUAGGACAACUGCGGUUAGGUCAAUCAGCUCAUUGCUUUUCGAUCAAGUGCUUGCUUGAUGAAAUUUCAGUUGCCAAUGCAUUAAUUGGCAUGUAUGGAAGGUGUGGGAAAUUUGACCUUGCAUACAAAAUAUUUGGUGUGGCCAAAGUGAGGAGGGAUGUUGUCACCUGGAAUGCACUCCUAUCCAGCUAUUCACAUCUAGGACAUUCAAAUGAUGCCUUGUCACUAUAUGAUCAGAUGCUCACUGAAGGUGUCCAACCAAACUCUGCAACCUUGAUUACUGUCAUUUCAGCUUGUGCAAAUUUGGCUGCACUGGAACAUGGUGAACUGAUACAUUCUUAUGUGAAAGAUAUGGGGUUGGAAUCUGAUGUAUCUAUUAGUACAUCACUUGUUGACAUGUAUACUAAAUGUGGGCAGCUGGGGAUUGCAAGAGGAAUUUUUGAUUCUAUGCUCGUACGGGAUGUUGUUACAUGGAAUGUGAUGAUAGCAGGCUAUGGGAUGCAUGGUGAUGUGAAGCAAGCACUGCAGUUAUUUAGUGAGAUGGAGAGAGGAAGUAUUAAGCCUAACAGUGUCACUUUUCUUGCCAUUCUGUCUGCUUGCUGCCAUGCAGGGUAUGUUGAUGAGGGCAGGAAGCUGUUCAUCAGAAUGGGGAAAUACCGCCUUGAACCUAACCUGAAGCAUUACGCAUGUAUGGUGGAUCUCCUAGGGAAAUCUGGGCAUCUUCAAGAAGCAGAAGAUAUGAUUUUGGCUAUGCCAAUACAACCUGAUGGUGGGGUAUGGGGAACUUUGCUUAGUGCCUGCAAAAUGCAUGACAAUUUCGAGAUGGGGUUAAGAGUUGCAAAGAAGGCUUUUGCUUCUGACCCAGGAAAUGAUGGGUACUAUGUUUUAAUGUCCAAUUCAUAUGGUAGUGCUGAAAAAUGGGAAGAGAUAGAGAAACUGAGAGACACGAUGAAGAAUCAUGGAGUGGAAAAAGGUGUGGGCUGGAGUGCGGUUGAUAUUUGCGUGUGA